RNAcentral lists this ribosomal RNA (440 nucleotides) under uncultured bacterium. RNAcentral's name for it is "partial 16S ribosomal RNA". It matches the Rfam family "Bacterial small subunit ribosomal RNA", at positions 338 to 795 of the family's 1533-position model. The record is from RNAcentral.
CCUACGGGAGGCAGCAGUGGGGAAUAUUGCACAAUGGGGGGAACCCUGAUGCAGCGACGCCGCGUGGGUGAAGAAGCACCUCGGCAUGUAAAGCCCUAUCAGCAGGGAAGAAAAUGACGGUACCUGACUAAGAAGCCCCGGCUAACUACGUGCCAGCAGCCGCGGUAAUACGUAGGGGGCAAGCGUUAUCCGGAUUUACUGGGUGUAAAGGGAGCGCAGACGGUGCAGCAAGCCAGACGUGAAAGGUCGGGGCCCAACCCCGGGACUGCAUUGGAAACUGUUGGGCUGGAGUGCAGGAGGGGUAGGCGGAAUUCCUGGUGUAGCGGUGAAAUGCGUAGAUAUCAGGAGGAACACCGGUGGCGAAGGCGGCUUGCUGGACUGUAACUGACGUUGAGGCUCGAAAGCGUGGGGAGCAAACAGGAUUAGAUACCCUUGUAGUC